UCUAGGUACUCUUGAGAUAUCAUAAUUGGUUUCCAAUGGGGUAAGAGGUACUGUUGAGAAUUCGGUAUCGGAUUGCUCAGGUGGCAGGAUAACUUGCCGUGAAUUUGGUGCCAAAGGAGGCAGGUUGUGCUUAGGAGAAUAUUGUGGUCUCGGGGAAACAAACGAACCACCAGCAUUAUUUGACCUAUGUUCUGCUGGGGUUGCAUCUGCACCCUUGAUUUGAUCUCCUGUAUUUCCAUUGCCAGCUUCGACAGCCUCACUUUUCUCUCUUUCGUUCUCCUUGAGAAGAAAAUCAACCCAGAGAUCUGCAAAGGACUGAUCUGAUGCCGUAGUAGAAGGUACUGAACUUCCACCCAUGAUGCCACCAACUAGUCGGCCAGGGAGACCAAAGACACCCCGGACAACACCUUUACCAGAUCCUUGCUGAGCCAUGCCUAUCCUCUGCUUGUCUUCAUCAGAGAAUCCUAGCAUACGAACCAUAAGAUCCAAAACCUCUUUGCUGUGAUUCCUUUGGAAGUAGGUCACCAGUAACUUGAUUACAAUCCGCCUGUCGACAUAAUUAUCAGAAUCCAGUGACAUCCUAUUCAGCCUAGUCAUGCUCUGUUCAACAGCUCGCCGUAGCUUUUCAUUGUCUUGUUCAAGCUUACUUAUACGGCCCUUCCCUUCAGAAAGUCUUCUUUCCAUGUCCGAAAGUUUCACUAACACCUCUUCCUUCUCUUUCUUUAAUGUUUCUGACUCAUUGUAAGCAUCCUUCAGAAGCCCUGACAUUUUAUGUAAUUCCUCCUUUGCCAUCACCAAUUCUUCUCCAAGCCGUUCCUUGGCUUCAAUCUCAGCGUAGUAUUGGCCAAGAGCAGUUUGUAGGUUAAGAACUUCAAUGUUUUGGGCUUCCAUUGUGUUCAAACAGCUGGCUAAUCUUUUAUUUAGCUCAUCGAUCGUUUCCUUUGACUUCCUUAAUUCAUUAUAAUUAAGGGUUUUGACAUCUUCUUGACCUGCAACUGCUUGCUUGAGAGCUUUCUCCAACUGUAAUAUUUGAGCUCGUUGAUAUUCGUUAUUUUGACGUAGUUCUUCAAUAAUCUUGCUGUCCUCAUCCAUCUUUUCUGAUUCUUCCAUUUCCUUCUCAAGUAAAUGCUGCUUAAGACGUUUCAAUUCUUUCUGUGCUUUAUCCCUUCCCCGGCGUGUUUCCUUCAAUUCAUUCUCCAAAUUUUGCAAAGACCUCUUCAUUUCUUCCUUCUCAGGAAAUACCUCCACAGGAUGCACCU
RNAcentral lists this unclassified non-coding RNA (1259 nucleotides) under Hevea brasiliensis (rubber tree). Lineage: Eukaryota; Viridiplantae; Streptophyta; Magnoliopsida; Malpighiales; Euphorbiaceae. The record is from RNAcentral.